RNAcentral lists this ribosomal RNA (254 nucleotides) under uncultured bacterium. Its description in RNAcentral is "partial 16S ribosomal RNA". It matches the Rfam family "Bacterial small subunit ribosomal RNA", at positions 524 to 776 of the family's 1533-position model. The record is from RNAcentral.
GACGUAGGGCGCGAGCGUUGUCCGGAAUUAUUGGGCGUAAAGAGCUCGUAGGCGGCUUGUUGCGUCGGCUGUGAAAACCCAUGGACUUAACUGUGGGCUUGCAGCCGAUACGGGCAGGCUAGAGUUCGGUAGGGGAGACUGGAAUUCCUGGUGUAGCGGUGGAAUGCGCAGAUAUCAGGAAGAACACCCGUGGCGAAGGCGGCUCUCUGGGACGGUACUGACGCUGAGACGCGAAAGCGUGGGGAGCGAACAGG